This 247-nucleotide unclassified non-coding RNA is filed under the name Hevea brasiliensis (rubber tree). Lineage: Eukaryota; Viridiplantae; Streptophyta; Magnoliopsida; Malpighiales; Euphorbiaceae. The record is from RNAcentral.
GAUUUGUUGCAGCUAUCACCUAAAAUUAUUAUAAGAAGUUUUAAUCAUUCUAAUAACCAAAGAACAACAAGUUUGAGUGCCAUAAUGCAGUAGCCAUCUCUAAGUCCAACAACAACCAGGCAAAAUUUCUACCACACGGCACAUUGAUCCCAAAUAAAAUGAAAUCCAAUGCAUAAAUUGAACGUUUGACCCCUCUGAUCCUUAUUAUAUAAGCGGCAAAUGUAAUACAAUCAUCAACCAACCUUAA